GGCAGCAUGGUGUAGUGGUUUGACUGUUAGACUUUGACUCUGGGAGACCCGGGUUCAAAUCCCCACUUGGCCA
Non-coding RNA from Phrynosoma platyrhinos (Desert horned lizard), 73 nucleotides. The record is from the annotation of a GenBank genome assembly. NCBI's taxonomy places the organism in Eukaryota, Metazoa, Chordata, Lepidosauria, Squamata, Phrynosomatidae.